GAUGAAGAACGUAGCGAAAUGCGAUAACUAGUGUGAAUUGCAGAUUUCAGUGAAUCAUCGAAUCUUUGAACGCACAUUGCACCUCUCGGUAUUCCGGGAGGUAUGCCUGUUCGAGCGUCAUUUGUACCCUCAAGCUCUGCUUGGUGUUGGGUGUUUGUUCCGCCUCUGUGUGUGAACUCGCCUCAAAACAAUUGGCAGCCGGCGUACUUGUUUCGGAGCGCAGCACAUUUUGCGAUCCAGAUCAACGUACAGCGGCAUCCAAGAAGCCUUAUUUAACGCUCUUGACCUCGGAUCAGGUAGGGAUACCCGCUGAACUUAAGCAUAUCAAUAAGCGGAGGA
RNAcentral lists this unclassified non-coding RNA (339 nucleotides) under soil metagenome. RNAcentral describes it as "partial contains 5.8S ribosomal RNA, internal transcribed spacer 2, and large subunit ribosomal RNA". The stretch from base 1 to 120 matches the Rfam family "5.8S ribosomal RNA", at positions 35 to 154 of the family's 154-position model. The record is from RNAcentral.